Long non-coding RNA from Spinacia oleracea (spinach), 744 nucleotides. RefSeq lists it as uncharacterized. NCBI's taxonomy places the organism in Eukaryota, Viridiplantae, Streptophyta, Magnoliopsida, Caryophyllales, Amaranthaceae. The record is from RefSeq and is a predicted model, not a curated record. The transcript has 2 exons.
GGUGAUAGAUGUUCCAGUAAAAUCUCGACUUGUGCUCCUUCUUCGGUCUUAGAAACAGCGCAAAUAUCUGCAAUGUCAGAAAAGUGAAUGAAAAUAGCCCUUCAAUGAAUAGAACAAACAACAACAAUCCCUUAAGGGACCAUUUGGUAGCUGGUAUCAUAGAUUUUCAGUUGAGAUAUUUCAAGAAUCUGGAUGUCAUGUAUAGAUUUUACGAUUGCCAUAUAAUGUCUGGAAUUAUCUCAAAACUUAGCUACAUCUGUAACGCUCAACAUCAGCCCUCCGCCUCUCUAAAGAUCACGAUAUCAUGCCAUUUAGCAGUGCGAAAUUAAUGUGGGACAGAAGCCGAAAGGAGUAAGAACCUUUAAAUUUCUCUAUGUUCAGAUGCAGUUCAGAUCUUUCAAGUACAACAUUCUCUAACUUAUCUUAUCUGAAUUUAUCUGAACUUAACUGAACUUAUCUGAAUUUAUCAAAAUUUAUCAAAACUUAUUUUAGUUAUAAAUUAUACUUGGUCAACCCUAUUUUUACUGAACUUAACUGAACUUAUUUUUCCUGAAAUAAGUGGAAAUAAGGUGAACAUAACAGGGCCUUACUUGUAGAGUAGCAAGUGCAAAGAGGGCAAUGCCGAUGUAGCGGUGGCUCGUGUAUACAAUACCAACUGACUUGCUUCCGAGCUGAAGACCGGUGGCCCAGCCGGCAACACCAAUAGCAUAUCCAGAUAUUUGGCAACCAACAUGAAUAUAAAAC